GACGAACGCUGGCGGCGUGCCUAAUACAUGCAAGUAGAACGCUGAAGGAGGAGCUUGCUUCUCUGGAUGAGUUGCGAACGGGUGAGUAACGCGUAGGUAACCUGCCUGGUAGCGGGGGAUAACUAUUGGAAACGAUAGCUAAUACCGCAUAAGAGUAGAUGUUGCAUGACAUUUGCUUAAAAGGUGCAAUUGCAUCACUACCAGAUGGACCUGCGUUGUAUUAGCUAGUUGGUGGGGUAACGGCUCACCGAGGCGACGAUACAUAGCCGACCUGAGAGGGUGAUCGGCCACACUGGGACUGAGACACGGCCCAGACUCCUACGGGAGGCAGCAGUAGGGAAUCUUCGGCAAUGGACGGAAGUCUGACCGAGCAACGCCGCGUGAGUGAAGAAGGUUUUCGGAUCGUAAAGCUCGGUUGUAAGAGAAGAACGAGUGUGAGAGUGGAAAGUUCACACUGUGACGGUAUCUUACCAGAAAGGGACGGCUAACUACGUG
RNAcentral lists this ribosomal RNA (495 nucleotides) under uncultured bacterium. RNAcentral's name for it is "partial 16S ribosomal RNA". It matches the Rfam family "Bacterial small subunit ribosomal RNA", at positions 28 to 507 of the family's 1533-position model. The record is from RNAcentral.